This 274-nucleotide ribosomal RNA is filed under the name uncultured bacterium. Its description in RNAcentral is "partial 16S ribosomal RNA". It matches the Rfam family "Bacterial small subunit ribosomal RNA", at positions 523 to 796 of the family's 1533-position model. The record is from RNAcentral.
CUACAGAGGGUGCGAGCGUUAAUCGGAAUUACUGGGCGUAAAGGGUGCGUAGGCGGCUUGAUAAGUCGGAUGUGAAAGCCCCGGGCUUAACCUGGGAAUUGCAUUCGAUACUGUCAGGCUAGAGUAUGUCAGAGGUUGGCGGAAUUCCUGGUGUAGCGGUGAAAUGCGUAGAUAUCAGGAGGAACACCAGUGGCGAAGGCGGCUAACUGGGACAAUACUGACGCUGAGGCACGAAAGCGUGGGGAGCAAACAGGAUUAGAAACCCUUGUAGUCC